UUUUUUUAUUAUUAUUAUUUUGUUCCCCAGGUCAACCGGGGUGCCUUUUGCAGCUGCCGGGACCGCUGGAGCGUCCUGCGGCGCUGUUUCACGCUCGCUGGGAACCAGAAGGUGUUUCGAAAAGGCAAAAGAGCCUCCUCAUCCCUGGGCUGCUGUUUUGGUGCCUCUUCAAACCCAGGAUGAGCAACCGCAUUGCAACCGCUUUAAAUCUGGACGGCGGCGUCAACACCCCCCUCACCCAGUGCCUGCCGGUACGUACUGCCCCUCAGGGUUGCAAAAUACUUCCACUGAAAACCACGCAGGAGAACCCAACCUCAACAAAGCCAUUAAAAUGCGGCCGCCUAGGUCCCCCGGCAGCGCCAGCGGCGGGAUUUCCCGCGGGACGGGCGCCUCGUGCCGUGAUUUAGGGCUCGGGCAGCUCUCGCUGAGCCGAGCAGGGCACGGAUCCCGCGCGUGUGCUGCACUUCUGCGAAACAGCUGCUGGCUUCCCCUUUAUCUCUCUCCAAACAGAUUAGCUUAAA
Molecule: long non-coding RNA, 521 nt
Filed under: Struthio camelus australis
Lineage: Eukaryota; Metazoa; Chordata; Aves; Struthioniformes; Struthionidae
Description: lncRNA (ENSSCUG00000015002.1)
Source: RNAcentral